UAUAGGCUAAUUAAGAGCGUAAGGGGGAUACCUUGGCUCUCAGAGGCGAAGAAGGACGUGAUAAGCUGCGAAAAGUUACGGGGAGUGGCACAUACAUAUUGAUCCGUAAAUAUCCGAAUGGGGAAACCCGAUUAUUUGAAGAAUAAUCAUCCAUAUUUAUAUGGAAGCUAACCCGGAGAACUGAAACAUCUAAGUACCCGGAGGAAUAGAAAACAAAAGUGAUUCCGCUAGUAGCGGCGAGCGAACGUGGAUCAGCCCAAACCUAAAUUGUUUCGGCAAUUUAGGGGUUGUAGGACCACAAUA
RNAcentral lists this ribosomal RNA (303 nucleotides) under uncultured Flavobacteriaceae bacterium. RNAcentral describes it as "bacterial LSU rRNA". It matches the Rfam family "Bacterial large subunit ribosomal RNA", at positions 1 to 313 of the family's 2925-position model. Lineage: Bacteria; Pseudomonadati; Bacteroidota; Flavobacteriia; Flavobacteriales; Flavobacteriaceae. The record is from RNAcentral.